This 626-nucleotide long non-coding RNA is filed under the name Helianthus annuus (common sunflower). Its description in RNAcentral is "hypothetical non coding rna". Lineage: Eukaryota; Viridiplantae; Streptophyta; Magnoliopsida; Asterales; Asteraceae. The record is from RNAcentral.
GGACACUAGGUAACAACUCAAAAGUCUCUCACACACACAUACAUACGCUGAGAGCCGACGAGGACGAAGGGAUUCCGGUGAGUACUCCGACGUGUGACUGCUACCAAUCUAAGCCUUGAGCAUGUCGGUGGUCGAUUGUCCGACCGUGCAUACUUAGACGGCGGCGAGCUUAUUGGCCGGAAACGAAGGGAUUCCGGUGAGUACUCCGACGUGUGACUGCUACCAAUCUAAGCCUUGAGCAUGUCGGUGGUCGAUUGUCCGACCGUGCAUCGAUGAUGGUUCAGUGAAGAAGUUAGACGGCGGCGAGCUUAUUGGCCGGAAACGAGAACGGUGACAUGAAGACGGGUUCCAAUCACAUCAAUCUGAUAAUAAUUCGGGUGUGCAAGACUCCUCAUCUAUGAUCUUAAAUACGACUGAAAACGAUGCAUCAAUUUGGGUCCGAAAAAAGCACAACUGCAAAGAAACUUAUGAUUAAGCUGGUUAAAUAUAUGUGGAUGUAGGGUUUUGGUUAUAUGGAUUGGAUUAUCAACAAUAAUUUUGGAGAUCUUUGCUUAAUUAAUUUGAGUAGCGAUUUUUAGGAGUUUUGUAGAUAACAUUUUCGUUAUUGGGUUUAGGGUGUUUGUAUU